RNAcentral lists this ribosomal RNA (336 nucleotides) under Streptomyces olivaceus. Its description in RNAcentral is "partial 23S ribosomal RNA". It matches the Rfam family "Eukaryotic large subunit ribosomal RNA", at positions 71 to 392 of the family's 3401-position model. The record is from RNAcentral. Lineage: Bacteria; Bacillati; Actinomycetota; Actinomycetes; Kitasatosporales; Streptomycetaceae.
AGGAUUCCCUCAGUAACGGCGAGUGAACAGGGAAGAGCCCAGCGCCGAAUCCCCGCCGCGCGUCGCGGCGUGGGAAAUGUGGCGUACGGAAGACCCACUCCCCGGCGCCGCUCGUGGGGGGCCCAAGUCCUUCUGAUCGAGGCCCAGCCCGUGGACGGUGUGAGGCCGGUAGCGGCCCCCGGCGCGCCGGGCUCGGGUCUUCCCGGAGUCGGGUUGCUUGGGAAUGCAGCCCAAAGCGGGUGGUAAACUCCAUCUAAGGCUAAAUACCGGCACGAGACCGAUAGUCAACAAGUACCGUAAGGGAAAGUUGAAAAGAACUUUGAAGAGAGAGUUCAA